AUGUCCGGACCCAGCCCUCAAGGCUGGUGGGUGGCUUCCUCUGUCACAGAGGAGGAUAUUGCGAAGCUCCAGGCGGCAAGAUACCUGACCGCAGAAAUCCCCCACAGGCUUCCUGCUCAAGGGCAGGUUAUUCCUACUCCCAGAUCCAACGAGAGGGUCGUAUUCAUCUCCCACUUUGUCCGAGGGCUAGGGUUCGCUCUUCAUCCCUUCGUUCAUGGGCUCAUGUUCUAUUACGGGCUAGAUUUUCAUGAUCUAGCGCCAGAUUCCUUUCUUCACGUCUCGGCAUUCAUUAUCAUGUGCGAGGCCUUCCUCCAUAUUCCCCACACUUCGUCUUGUGUCUCAAGACAUUUAAUGUGA
Molecule: ribosomal RNA, 357 nt
Filed under: Triticum aestivum (bread wheat)
Lineage: Eukaryota; Viridiplantae; Streptophyta; Magnoliopsida; Poales; Poaceae
Description: partial small subunit ribosomal RNA
Source: RNAcentral